CCUACGGGAGGCUGCAGUGGGGAAUAUUGGACAAUGGGGGCAACCCUGAUCCAGCCAUGCCGCGUGUGUGAAGAAGGCCCUCGGGUUGUAAAGCACUUUCAGUGAGGAAGAACGCCUGGUGGUUAAUACCCAUCAGGAAAGACAUCACUCACAGAAGAAGCACCGGCUAACUCCGUGCCAGCAGCCGCGGUAAUACGGAGGGUGCGAGCGUUAAUCGGAAUUACUGGGCGUAAAGCGCGCGUAGGUGGCUUGAUAAGCCGGUUGUGAAAGCCCCGGGCUCAACCUGGGAACGGCAUCCGGAACUGUCAAGCUAGAGUGCAGGAGAGGAAGGUAGAAUUCCCGGUGUAGCGGUGAAAUGCGUAUAGAUCGGGAGGAAUACCAGUGGCGAAGGCGGCCUUCUGGACUGACACUGACACUGAGGUGCGAAAGCGUGGGUAGCAAACAGGAUUAGAUACCCCUGUAGUC
Molecule: ribosomal RNA, 465 nt
Filed under: Vreelandella stevensii
Lineage: Bacteria; Pseudomonadati; Pseudomonadota; Gammaproteobacteria; Oceanospirillales; Halomonadaceae
Description: partial 16S ribosomal RNA
Rfam family: Bacterial small subunit ribosomal RNA
Source: RNAcentral